RNAcentral lists this transfer RNA (77 nucleotides) under Erysipelotrichaceae bacterium. RNAcentral describes it as "tRNA-Met". It matches the Rfam family "tRNA". Rfam says of the family: Transfer RNA (tRNA) molecules are approximately 80 nucleotides in length. Their secondary structure includes four short double-helical elements and three loops (D, anti-codon, and T loops). Further hydrogen bonds mediate the characteristic L-shaped molecular structure. tRNAs have two regions of fundamental functional importance: the anti-codon, which is responsible for specific mRNA codon recognition, and the 3' end, to which the tRNAs corresponding amino acid is attached (by aminoacyl-tRNA synthetases). tRNAs cope with the degeneracy of the genetic code in two manners: having more than one tRNA (with a specific anti-codon) for a particular amino acid; and 'wobble' base-pairing, i.e. permitting non-standard base-pairing at the 3rd anti-codon position. RNAcentral also lists the same sequence under 1 other name. Lineage: Bacteria; Bacillati; Bacillota; Erysipelotrichia; Erysipelotrichales; Erysipelotrichaceae. The record is from RNAcentral.
CGCGAGGUAGAGCAGUCUGGUAGCUCGUCGGGCUCAUAACCCGGAGGUCGGAGGUUCAAAUCCUCCCCUCGCAACCA